Molecule: ribosomal RNA, 490 nt
Filed under: uncultured bacterium
Lineage: Bacteria
Description: partial 16S ribosomal RNA
Rfam family: Bacterial small subunit ribosomal RNA
Source: RNAcentral
AUUGAACGCUGGCGGCAGGCCUAACACAUGCAAGUCGAACGGUAACAGGAAGCAGCUUGCUGCUUCGCUGACGAGUGGCGGACGGGUGAGCAAUGUCUGGGAAACUGCCUGAUGGAGGGGGAUAACUACUGGAAACGGUAGCUAAUACCGCAUAACGUCGCAAGACCAAAGAGGGGGACCUUAGGGCCUCUUGCCAUCGGAUGUGCCCAGAUGGGAUUAGCUAGUAGGUGGGGUAACGGCUCACCUAGGCGACGGUCCCUAGCUGGUCUGAGAGGAUGACCAGCCACACUGGAACUGAGACACGGUCCAGACUCCUACGGGAGGCAGCAGUGGCGAAUAUUGCACAAUGGGCGCAAGCCUGAUGCAGCCAGGCCGCGUGUAUGAAGAAGGCCUUCGGGUUGUAAAGUACUUUCAGCGGGGAGGAAGGGAGUAAAGUUAAUACCUUUGCUCAUUGACGUUACCCGCAGAAGAAGCACCGGCUAACUCCGUG